Molecule: non-coding RNA, 92 nt
Organism: Candidatus Thiomargarita nelsonii
Lineage: Bacteria; Pseudomonadati; Pseudomonadota; Gammaproteobacteria; Thiotrichales; Thiotrichaceae
Source: Rfam
UAAUGCGGCUAGGGGUGCCCAUAUGGGCUGAGAAUACACCCUUUGAACCUGAUCCGGCUGCUACCGGCGUAGGAAAGCACGUUUCUCUUGCG